AGUAAAAUAUAUGACGCAUAUUUAAUAUUUAGUCAUAUUAUUAAUAUCUAUACAUGUAUUCAUUAUGCACACACUUCAUACUUCCAUAACUUUCUGUUUCAGGGUUUCCAAAUGUAAUUGGGUGCAUUGAUGGCACUCACAUUCCUAUUAAAGCUCCAUCAAUAAAUGAGGGAGACUAUGUUAAUAGGAAAUCUAUUCAUAGUAUCAAUGUGCAGGUAAUAUGUGAGGCAACCCAAAUCAUCACCAAAGUCGAGGCAAAAUGGCCAGGAUCUGUGCAUGAUGCCAGAAUUUUCCGCGAGUCAUCAUUAUGCCAGACAUUUCAGCAGGGACAGUACAAUGGUUACUUACUGGGGGACAGAGGAUACCCUUGUCUGCCCUAUUUAAUGACACCCUACCCUGAACCUGAGCCUGGACCACAGACACGGUUUAACCUGGCUCACAGCCGAACACGGGCCAAGGUGGAGAUGACUGUAGGGAUCCUCAAAUCUCGGUUUCAGUGUCUGCGUGGGCUCCGGGUUAGUCCAGAGAGGGCAUGCGACAUUAUUGUGGCUUGUGUUGUGCUUCACAAUAUUGCCACUAUAAGAGGAGAGAGCCACCCUCCUUGUAUUGAGGAAGAUGGCCCAGAGGAACACCGACAGAUUUUAGAGGCCAACAGAGACGGAAGACUUUUGAGAGACAGGAUUUGUCAAAAUUACUUUUAUUAGUUUUUUUUGCACUGGUCUGCCAGGCAGUUUAUUUCUUCAUUU
This is a long non-coding RNA of Carassius carassius (crucian carp), 746 nucleotides long. RefSeq lists it as uncharacterized. The transcript is spliced from 3 exons. Lineage: Eukaryota; Metazoa; Chordata; Actinopteri; Cypriniformes; Cyprinidae. The record is from RefSeq and is a predicted model, not a curated record.